GAUGAACGCUGGCGGCGUGCCUAAUACAUGCAAGUCGAGCGAACCACUUCGGUGGUGAGCGGCGAACGGGUGAGUAACACGUAGGUGAUCUGCCCAUCAGACGGGGACAACGAUUGGAAACGAUCGCUAAUACCGGAUAGGACGAAAGUUUAAAGGUGCUUCUGGCACCGCUGAUGGAUGAGCCUGCGGCGCAUUAGCUAGUUGGUAGGGUAAAGGCCUACCAAGGCGACGAUGCGUAGCCGACCUGAGAGGGUGAACGGCCACACUGGGACUGAGACACGGCCCAGACUCCUACGGGAGGCAGCAGUGGGGAAUAUUGGACAAUGGGGGCAACCCUGAUCCAGCAAUGCCGCGUGUGUGAAGAAGGCCUGAGGGUUGUAAAGCACUUUCGGUGGGGAGGAGGAUUAAUAGGUUAAGAGCUAAUUAAUUGGACGUUACCCGCAUAAGAAGCACCGGCUAACUCCGUGCCAGCCGUCGCCGUAA
Molecule: ribosomal RNA, 483 nt
Filed under: uncultured bacterium
Lineage: Bacteria
Description: partial 16S ribosomal RNA
Rfam family: Bacterial small subunit ribosomal RNA
Source: RNAcentral